GGUCAAGCUACAAAGGGCGCAUGGUGAAUGCCUUGGCAUCAGGAGCCGAUGAAGGACGCGAUAAGCUGCGAUAAGCUUCGGGUAGACGCACAUAGUCAGAGAUCCGAAGAUUUCCGAAUGAGGAAACUCACAUGGGAAACCCCAUGUAUCAUAAAGUGAAUACAUAGUUUUAUGAAGGUAUACCCAGGGAACUGAAACAUCUAAGUACCUGGAGGAAGAGAAAGAAAAAUCGAUUUUCUUAGUAGCGGCGAGCGAAAAGGAAAGAGCCCAAACCAGAGAUUUAUCUCUGGGGUUGCGGACAGAACAUAACGAGAAAUCAUAGUUAAUUGAACACAACUGGAAAGUUGGACCACAGUGGGUAAUAGUCCCGUAAGUGAAAACUAUGAUAAUCAGUUCUGCACCAGAGUACCACGAGACACGUGAAACCUUGUGGGAAGCAGGGAGGACCACCUCCCAAGGCUAAAUACUACCUGAUGACCGAUAGUGAAGCAGUACCGUGAGGGAAAGGUGAAAAGAACCCCGGGAGGGGAGUGAAAUAGAACCUGAAACCAUGUGCCUACAACCGAUCAGAGCACCUUAUGUGUGUGAUGAUGUGCUUUUUGUAGAACGAGCCAACGAGUUACGGUAUGUAGCGAGGUUAAGUACUUAAGGUACGGAGCCGAAGGGAAACCGAGUCUUAAUAGGGCGACUAGUUGCAUGCUGUAGACCCGAAACCGGGUGACCUAUCCAUGGCCAGGUUGAAGCGAGGGUAAAACCUCGUGGAGGACCGAACCACGUUGCUGUUGAAAAAGCAUGGGAUGAGCUGUGGAUAGCGGAGAAAUUCCAAUCGAACUCGGAUAUAGCUGGUUCUCCUCGAAAUAGCUUUAGGGCUAGCGUCGGAAAAUGUGAGUAGUGGAGGUAGAGCACUGAAUAGGCUAGGGGGCAUAGCGCUUACCGAACCUUAUCAAACUCCGAAUGCCACAUACUAUCAGUCCGGCAGUCAGACUAUGAAAGAUAAGUUCCAUGGUCAAAAGGGAAACAGCCCAGAUCGUCAGCUAAGGUCCCAAAGUGUAAGUUAAGUGGAAAAGGAUGUGGGAUUUCUAAGACAACUAGGAUGUUGGCUUAGAAGCAGCCACUCAUUAAAAGAGUGCGUAAUAGCUCACUAGUCAAGAGAUCCUGCGCCGAAAAUGUCCGGGGCUCAAACUUACCACCGAAGCUACGGGUUCACGCAUUAGCGUGAGCGGUAGAGGAGCGUCGUAAUCGGGCUGAAGUCGUACCGUAAGGAGCGGUGGACUGAUUACGAGUGAGAAUGUUGGCAUUAGUAGCGAGAUGUAGGCGAGAAUCCUACAGGCCGAAUAUCUAAGGUUUCCUGAGUAAAGUUUGUCUUCUCAGGGUUAGUCGGGACCUAAGGCGAGGCCGAAAGGCGUAGUCGAUGGACAAUUGGUUGAUAUUCCAAUACCACUAUAAUCGUUAUUAUCGAUGGUGUGACGGAGAAGGAUAGGAUGUGCUAGCUAUUGGAUGCUAGUCUAAGCGUUUAGGGAGUUGGGAUUGGCAAAUCCGUUCCAACAAUUCUGAGGCGUGAUGGGGAAGGUUCUACGGAACCGAAGUAUCUGAUUCCAUGCUUCCAAGAAAAGCAUCUAGAAAGAGAAGUAGUGCCCGUACCGCAAACCGACACAGGUAGAUGAGGAGAGAAUCCUAAGGCCGACGGAAGAAUUGCAGUUAAGGAACUAGGCAAAUUGACCCCGUAACUUCGGGAGAAGGGGUGCCUGAGAAAUCAGGCCGCAGAGAAUAGGCACAAGCAACUGUUUAACAAAAACACAGGUCUCUGCUAAAGCGAAAGCUGAUGUAUAGGGGCUGACGCCUGCCCGGUGCUGGAAGGUUAAGGGGAACACUUAGCAAAGUUUUGCGAAGGUGUGAACUUAAGCCCCAGUAAACGGCGGCCGUAACUAUAACGGUCCUAAGGUAGCGAAAUUCCUUGUCAGGUAAGUUCUGACCCGCACGAAUGGCGUAAUGACUUGUGCACUGUCUCAACUGCAAAUCCGGCGAAGUUGUAGUGCGAGUGAAGAUGCUCGCUACCCGCGAUUGGACGGAAAGACCCCGUAGAGCUUUACUGUAGCUUAGCAUUGAAUUUCGGUAUUGUCUGUACAGGAUAGGUGGGAGACUGGGAAACUAGGGCGUCAGCCUUGGUGGAGUCGUUGUUGGGAUACCACCCUGAUAGUAUUGAAGUUCUAACUGGAUGCCAUGAAACUGGUGACAGGACAUUGUUAGGUGGGCAGUUUGACUGGGGCGGUCGCCUCCUAAAAUGUAACGGAGGCGCCCAAAGGUUCCCUCAGAACGGUCGGAAAUCGUUCGAAGAGUGUAAAGGCAGAAGGGAGCCUGACUGCGACACCUACAAGUGGAGCAGGGACGAAAGUCGGGCUUAGUGAUCCGGUGGUACCUCGUGGGAGGGCCAUCGCUCAACGGAUAAAAGCUACCUCGGGGAUAACAGGCUGAUCUCCCCCAAGAGUUCACAUCGACGGGGAGGUUUGGCACCUCGAUGUCGGCUCGUCGCAUCCUGGGGCUGAAGUAGGUCCCAAGGGUUGGGCUGUUCGCCCAUUAAAGCGGCACGCGAGCUGGGUUCAGAACGUCGUGAGACAGUUCGGUCCCUAUCCGUCGCGGGCGUAGGAAAUUUGAGAGGAGCUGUCCUUAGUACGAGAGGACCGGGAUGGACUGACCUAUGGUGUACCAGUUGUUUCGCCAGAAGCAUAGCUGGGUAGCUAAGUCGGGAAGGGAUAAACGCUGAAAGCAUCUAAGUGUGAAGCCCACCUCAAGAUGAGAUUUCCCAUAGCAUAAGCUAGUAAGACCCCUUGAAGACUACAAGGUUGAUAGGUCAGAGGUGUAAGUAUGGUAACAUAUUUAGCUGACUGAUACUAAUAGGUCGAGGGCUUGACCAA
RNAcentral lists this ribosomal RNA (2912 nucleotides) under Clostridium beijerinckii. Its description in RNAcentral is "23S ribosomal RNA". It matches the Rfam family "Bacterial large subunit ribosomal RNA". Lineage: Bacteria; Bacillati; Bacillota; Clostridia; Eubacteriales; Clostridiaceae. The record is from RNAcentral.